This 600-nucleotide ribosomal RNA is filed under the name Bacillus sp. CH131a_4D. RNAcentral describes it as "bacterial SSU rRNA". It matches the Rfam family "Bacterial small subunit ribosomal RNA", at positions 50 to 632 of the family's 1533-position model. The record is from RNAcentral. Lineage: Bacteria; Bacillati; Bacillota; Bacilli; Caryophanales; Bacillaceae.
UAUACUGCAAGUCGAGCGGACCGACGGGAGCUUGCUCCCUUAGGUCAGCGGCGGUACGGGUGAGUAACACGUGGGUAACCUGCCUGUAAGACUGGUAUAACUCCGGGAAACCGGGGCUAAUACCGGAUGCUUGAUUGAACCGCAUGGUUCAAUCAUGAAAGGCGGCUUCGGCUGCCGUUUACAGAUGGACCCGCGGCGCAUUAGCUAGUUGGUGAGGUAACGGCUCACCAAGGCGACGAUGCGUAGCCGACCUGAGAGGGUGAUCGGCCACACUGGGACUGAGACACGGCCCAGACUCCUACGGGAGGCAGCAGUAGGGAAUCUUCCGCAAUGGACGAAAGUCUGACGGAGCAACGCCGCGUGAGUGAUGAAGGUUUUCGGAUCGUAAAGCUCUGUUGUUAGGGAAGAACAAGUACCGUUCGAAUAGGGCGGUACCUUGACGGUACCUAACCAGAAAGCCACGGCUAACUACGUGCCAGCAGCCGCGGUAAUACGUAGGUGGCAAGCGUUGUCCGGAAUUAUUGGGCGUAAAGCGCGCGCAGGCGGUUUCUUAAGUCUGAUGUGAAAGCCCCCGGCUCAACCGGGGAGGGUCAUUGGAAA